UACAGAGGGUGCGAGCGUUGUUCGGAAUUACUGGGCGUAAAGGGCGCGCAGGCGGCUCUGAAAGUCAGAUGUGAAAGCCCCGGGCUUAACCUGGGAAUUGCAUUUGAUACUCUGGAGCUUGAGUACGGGAGAGGAGAGUGGAAUUCCCAGUGUAGAGGUGAAAUUCGUAGAUAUUGGGAAGAACACCGGUGGCGAAGGCGGCUCUCUGGACCGUAACUGACGCUGAGGCGCGAAAGCGUGGGGAGCAAACAGG
Molecule: ribosomal RNA, 253 nt
Filed under: uncultured bacterium
Lineage: Bacteria
Description: partial 16S ribosomal RNA
Rfam family: Bacterial small subunit ribosomal RNA
Source: RNAcentral